RNAcentral lists this transfer-messenger RNA (287 nucleotides) under Campylobacter coli. Its description in RNAcentral is "partial transfer-messenger RNA". It matches the Rfam family "transfer-messenger RNA", at positions 1 to 303 of the family's 374-position model. Rfam says of the family: Bacterial tmRNA, also known as 10Sa RNA or SsrA, is named for its dual tRNA and mRNA-like properties. Its role is to liberate the mRNA from a stalled ribosome. To accomplish this part of the tmRNA is used as a reading frame that ends in a translation stop signal. Lineage: Bacteria; Pseudomonadati; Campylobacterota; Epsilonproteobacteria; Campylobacterales; Campylobacteraceae. The record is from RNAcentral.
GGGAGCGACUUGGCUUCGACAGGAGUAAGUCUGCUUAGAUGGCAUGUCGCUUUGGGCAAAGCGUAAAAAGCCCAAAUAAAAUUAAACGCAAAUAACGUUAAAUUCGCUCCUGCUUACGCUAAAGCUGCGUAAGUUCAGUUGAGCCUGAAAUUUAAGUCAUACUAUCUAGCUUAAUUUUCGGUCAUUUUUGAUAGUGUAGCCUUGCGUUUGACAAGCGUUGAGGUGAAAUAAGGUCUUAGCCUUGCUUUUGAGUUUUGGAAGAUGAGCGAAGUAGGGUGAAGUAGUCA